RNAcentral lists this small RNA (272 nucleotides) under Arabidopsis thaliana (thale cress). RNAcentral's name for it is "ATSL240180". The record is from RNAcentral. Lineage: Eukaryota; Viridiplantae; Streptophyta; Magnoliopsida; Brassicales; Brassicaceae.
UUUUCAUUAUAUAUUUAAAUUAGCGGUGUACUGCGGGUUUUUUUUAUAGGACGGGUUUGGCGGAACGGGUUUGGAAGGACGUUACUUAAUAACAACAGUAAACUAUAAAAUAAAAAUAAUUUAUAGAUAGAUAUAAUUUGCAAACUUUUAUAUAUACUGAUUUUAAAAAAUAAAUUGUUUCUGCGGUGUACCGCUGGUUAAAAUCUAGUUUAUUGUUAUGAUAGAAGUGACGAAAAACAUGUUAUCCUGCGUGCCGAUGAAACAAACAGCUU